GGCUUUGAUGUUCAUCUCAGGCAUCUUGAAUUUAGGGCCCUUUAGUUUCGCAUCUGGACCUUCGAUAUUCACAUCAGGAACAUCAAUGUCCACCUUGGGUCCUGAGACGUCAAGGUCAGCCUUGGGCAGGUUCACAUCCACAUCUGGGCCCUCUCCUUUGAAGCCAGGCAUGCUGAACUUGGGCAUUUUCACCUUGGGCAUCUUCAGAUGCCAGUCUGGACCAUGAACAUCCACAUCUGGGGCAUUGAUGUCCACUUUAGGGCCUUUGAUAUCAACCUCUGGCCCUUUCAGAUCCCCUUCAAGUUUGGGAAGAGAAAUAUCCACAUCACCUUUCACCUUGGGGCCUUUCAAGUUUAAGUCAAUGUCAGGCAUG
Molecule: long non-coding RNA, 373 nt
Filed under: Homo sapiens (human)
Lineage: Eukaryota; Metazoa; Chordata; Mammalia; Primates; Hominidae
Description: HSALNT0176137
Source: RNAcentral